CACUACUGAACCACGACGUCCACAAUAAGGAGAUGGAGAUCAUCGUCCCAGGGGGUUGACGAUAUAUCUAUGGAUAUUAUACUGACUGAUAGCCCAUGGUUCAUUUGAGCUCACUUUGGCACGAAUGCCGUGAUGAAGGAGAGAAAAAAGGAAAAAGUUGCUAUGGUUUUCCUUGCAGCUCAAUUUUCACCCUUCCCAGCGGCACGGACCUCCUACUGACGAUGCUGCGCGGCGACGGCCGCAGCCUUGGCCACCCCUCGUUGUCUCCCUGUGAAGGUGCCGGCGACGCACGGCGACCCCCGACAGGCGCCGUCACCGUCCGUCGCCGCGGAUUGCACCGCCGCCACCGUCCCCGUUUUUGCUCUUCGGAAAUGCAAAUCACCAAGCUGAUGACUAUUGUAACCCUGUUCGAAGGCCAUACUAGGAAUGCUUGAAGUAUAUUUUGAGUUUGCUAAAAACUCUUUCCAAUGGGUGUUAUUUCCGUGUGCUAGUUAGUACUACUAAACUUUCCCGCAUGUUGAUGCAUCCCACGUGCACAUCUUCAGCCUCCCUCAUGUGUGUUCUGUGUGUA
Triticum aestivum (bread wheat) is the source of this 571-nucleotide long non-coding RNA. RefSeq lists it as uncharacterized. The transcript has 4 exons. The record is from RefSeq and is a predicted model, not a curated record. Lineage: Eukaryota; Viridiplantae; Streptophyta; Magnoliopsida; Poales; Poaceae.